CACGCUGUAAACGAUGUCUGCUAGCCGUUGGGAUCCUUGAGGUCUCGGUGGCGCAGCUAACGCGAUAAGCAGACCGCCUGGGGAGUACGGCCGCAAGGUUAAAACUCAAAUGAAUUGACGGGGGCCCGCACAAGCGGUGGAGCAUGUGGUUUAAUUCGAUGCAACGCGAAGAACCUUACCAGGUCUUGACAUCCAGAGAACUUUCCAGAGAUGGAUGGGUGCCUUCGGGAACUCUGAGACAGGUGC
RNAcentral lists this ribosomal RNA (246 nucleotides) under uncultured bacterium. Its description in RNAcentral is "partial 16S ribosomal RNA". It matches the Rfam family "Bacterial small subunit ribosomal RNA", at positions 796 to 1041 of the family's 1533-position model. The record is from RNAcentral.